RNAcentral lists this transfer RNA (69 nucleotides) under Marmota monax (woodchuck). RNAcentral's name for it is "tRNA.Ala". The record is from RNAcentral. Lineage: Eukaryota; Metazoa; Chordata; Mammalia; Rodentia; Sciuridae.
GGGGUUGUGGCUCAGUGGUACAGCACUUGCCUAGCACGUGUGGGGCACUGGGUUUGAUCCUCAACCCCA